AAAAUUAAUUUCUUUACGAUUUUCCAAAAGAGAAAAAAAAUUAAUUUCCUGAUGCAUUGAACACAGAAAAGCACACUCAAAACUCGAACAGACCGACAACUGUUGCUUAUGUUCAGUUCAGUCUGCAAUCUCUGUAAGGUAAAAUUGUAAUGAAACCUAUGCAAUUAUAGGCCAUUGCGAAAUAGGCCCCUCAACUUCACAAUUUGUU
This is a long non-coding RNA of Ananas comosus (pineapple), 208 nucleotides long. RefSeq lists it as uncharacterized. NCBI's taxonomy places the organism in Eukaryota, Viridiplantae, Streptophyta, Magnoliopsida, Poales, Bromeliaceae. The transcript is spliced from 2 exons. The record is from RefSeq and is a predicted model, not a curated record.